RNAcentral lists this ribosomal RNA (410 nucleotides) under uncultured microorganism. Its description in RNAcentral is "bacterial SSU rRNA". It matches the Rfam family "Bacterial small subunit ribosomal RNA", at positions 9 to 414 of the family's 1533-position model. The record is from RNAcentral.
GAGUUUGAUCAUGGCUCAGAUUGAACGCUGGCGGCAUGCCUUACACAUGCAAGUCGAACGGCAGCAUGAUCUAGCUUGCUAGAUUGAUGGCGAGUGGCGAACGGGUGAGUAAUACAUCGGAACGUGCCCUGUAGUGGGGGAUAACUAGUCGAAAGAUUAGCUAAUACCGCAUACAACCUGAGGGUGAAAGGUGGGGGACCGCAAGGCCUCAUGCUAUAGGAGCGGCCGAUGUCUGAUUAGCUAGUUGGUGGGGUAAAGGCCCACCAAGGCGACGAUCAGUAGCUGGUCUGAGAGGACGAUCAGCCACACUGGGACUGAGACACGGCCCAGACUCCUACGGGAGGCAGCAGUGGGGAAUUUUGGACAAUGGGCGAAAGCCUGAUCCAGCAAUGCCGCGUGUGUGAAGAAGG